GUGCCAGCAGCCGCGGUAAUACGGAGGGUGCAAGCGUUAUCCGGAUUCACUGGGUUUAAAGGGUGCGUAGGCGGGUUGGUAAGUCAGUGGUGAAAUCUUCAAGCUUAACUUGGAAACUGCCGUUGAUACUAUCAAUCUUGAAUGUUGUGGAGGUAAGCGGAAUAUGUCAUGUAGCGGUGAAAUGCUUAGAUAUGACAUAGAACACCGAUAGCGAAGGCAGCUUGCUACACAAUAAUUGACGCUGAGGCACGAAAGCGUGGGGAUCAAACAGGAUUAGAUACCCUGGUAGUCC
This 292-nucleotide ribosomal RNA is filed under the name uncultured bacterium. RNAcentral describes it as "partial 16S ribosomal RNA". It matches the Rfam family "Bacterial small subunit ribosomal RNA", at positions 505 to 796 of the family's 1533-position model. The record is from RNAcentral.